This 298-nucleotide ribosomal RNA is filed under the name uncultured bacterium. RNAcentral describes it as "partial 16S ribosomal RNA". It matches the Rfam family "Bacterial small subunit ribosomal RNA", at positions 335 to 650 of the family's 1533-position model. The record is from RNAcentral.
CUUCCUACGGGAGGCAGCAGUGGGGAAUAUUGCACAAUGGGGGAAACCCUGAUGCAGCGACGCCGCGUGAGUGAAGAAGUAAUUCGUUAUGUAAAGCUCUAUCAGCAGGGAAGAAAAUGACGGUACCUGAGUAAGAAGCCCCGGCUAACUACGUGCCAGCAGCCGCGGUAAUACGUAGGGGGCAGGCGUUAUCCGGAUUUACUGGGUGUAAAGGGCGUGCAGCCGGAGAGACAAGUCAGAUGUGAAAUCCACGGGCUCAACCCGUGAACUGCAUUUGAGACUGUUUCCCUUGAGUGUC